GGCCUUUAUCCCUUGUUUCUUCCUCAAUUAGGCGGUUCUCUCUCUCUCUCUCUACAGUGCUCCGUUCUCUCACAUCGAAAGUUUUUGAUGUGAAGCUUCUGCAAACUGCGUCAAGCUGACUGAGGAAAAUGAUUUCCGGUUUAAUCAAUGCCAAUCCCAUUGUCUAUGAAAAAAAGGAGCGUCAAACUAGAACUGCACCGGAUGAUGUCAACGAGUAUGUUGUGGAGCCCAUUGACCAACUAGAAAUUUUUUGUAUCAUUUGAGUUUGAUUAUUCCAUUUGAUGCUCUGUCAUGUCCACUGUGUUUUGUCAGUUAUAUAUCUCACAAAUUGUAGAGGUUUCUUUGCAAAGCUUGGUGUUGAAAUUAAAAUUCACUUGUAUGUAAGUGUAUUAGAAUUUAGAAAGGAAUAUGUUGUUUAGACAUGUUGAUCAAAUAGGACUACAUGGGUUGAAGUUCCUAUUCAGCAAAGUUUUGCUGCUUGUCCAUAUAUCUUGCCCCAAGAGGCAUAACAAAGGGAGCAGAAGCAAUUGUAAGGAA
Molecule: non-coding RNA, 537 nt
Organism: Camellia sinensis
Lineage: Eukaryota; Viridiplantae; Streptophyta; Magnoliopsida; Ericales; Theaceae
Source: RefSeq, a predicted model, not a curated record